Patella vulgata (common limpet) is the source of this 974-nucleotide long non-coding RNA. RefSeq lists it as uncharacterized. The transcript is spliced from 5 exons. The record is from RefSeq and is a predicted model, not a curated record. Lineage: Eukaryota; Metazoa; Mollusca; Gastropoda; Patellidae.
CGUGCCAAUCUAGCACAGAAAAUCAAAGUUUUGGAAUUCAGAGAAAAUUGGAAACUUCAGAAAAUACAAAAAGUGGAUUUUUGUCCAUUGAUGAUAUUUUAAAAGACGAUUCAAACGGCGCGAAAGGCGACAUCAACCAGACCACAAACGAUGAAACUGUCGUUUGUCAUGAGAAUGAAAACGAGGAACAAAUAACACCAAAGCAGAUUUGUGAUACUCAAGUAUCAUCACCAUUUGUACUCCGUCCAAUUCCAAGAUUUUGUUAUCCUGUUUCACCCUGGACCCCCGAGUCUCCUGCUUGGCUUUACCAGUCGCUUUAUCAUAGACAUCUGGUACUUGAAGCUCAGAAAAGUAGCACAGUCAGGAGACAGCGGCGUGUUAAUAUCGACAGAAAACCACGACAAGCUUAUUCUAGUAAACAAUUAGAACAUCUUGAGAUGGAGUUUAAGCAGGCUGACAGAUAUUUGAGUGUCAGUAAAAGAGUAGAGUUGUCUAAAACAUUAGAUCUAACAGAGACACAAAUCAAGACGUGGUUUCAGAACAGAAGAACAAAAUGGAAGAAGCAGAUGUCAGCAAAGUUAAAAAGAGAAGGUCUGUUUCCUGGUCCGAUCUGGGGUCCCAUGGCGUCUCCUCGUUCAUGUCACUUUAACCCUUAUCACCACCCGCUCUCUUUAGACAGGAACUACUUUUCUUCUUAUAAAUGAAAUAAAAUGAGAUCCCAUUUGAAAGGAGUUAUUACUAUAUGGUACUUGUCAAAUAAUACCCCACGAUCAUUUCCGACAAUAAGUGUUUACUUAUGUACUGUUAAAUCAAAUUCUCAUUCUUCUGUGAUUGUGUUCCAACCUUGGAUAACAUAGCUUUAUAAUUUCUAUUAUGAUAUUGUCAACAUUAUACCAUCGUUAAUAGUAUUGUUUCCAGGGUGUUUUGUUUUGUUAUUUAUGGAUGUACGUUGUUUGGGAAAAGUAUAUAAAUUA